RNAcentral lists this transfer RNA (69 nucleotides) under Tanystylum sp. JZ-2022. RNAcentral's name for it is "tRNA-Gln". It matches the Rfam family "tRNA". Rfam says of the family: Transfer RNA (tRNA) molecules are approximately 80 nucleotides in length. Lineage: Eukaryota; Metazoa; Arthropoda; Pycnogonida; Pantopoda; Tanystylidae. The record is from RNAcentral.
UAUAUAAUAGUGUAAAUAGCACGUUUAAUUUUGAUUUAAGAAGUUUAAGUUUGAUACUUUUUUAUAUAG